AAAAAAAAAGAAAAUUUUUUUUUUUUUUUUUUAAUAAUUAAAUUAAGAUGAUAUUAA
RNAcentral lists this non-coding RNA (57 nucleotides) under Ctenophora environmental sample. Lineage: Eukaryota; Metazoa; Ctenophora. The record is from RNAcentral.